RNAcentral lists this long non-coding RNA (852 nucleotides) under Bemisia tabaci. RNAcentral describes it as "lncRNA ENSSWEETPG001951". Lineage: Eukaryota; Metazoa; Arthropoda; Insecta; Hemiptera; Aleyrodidae. The record is from RNAcentral.
UAGAGGAAAAGCGUCAGGUAUAUUGAUUUUUAUUUAUCAUCGAUAAGAAACGACAUUCGUGAAAUGAAAUCUCACCUGUGCCACUUCUCUUGUUGAACAGAGAUUACUGGAAUAUUAUAUCGCACAGAUUAAAAUGGUUGCGAAUUUAAUUCAUGACUUUAUCCAGUUGUUCCUUUCUGUUACUGGGAAAUUGUCUCUCUCUCCAUUUGUAAGUGGGCUUUAUCGUGUAAAAUUAGCAGUGCACUUGAAAGACACAUACAGUCCAUGAGAUUUCGUGUUCAACCUGCAAUGCUUUACGUGUGACGUGCCUCCCUUAAUUUGAUUUUUAUAUGAUGGAAUACUGAUGGUGUCAGAUAAUAAUGGCAAUCCAAUGAAUAGCCGAAUAAAAUCUGAUGAGGUGGAAAAUUUUUUGCCCGAUUGGACGGAAUGGGAAUUCAAAGAAAUACAGUCCUCAGAAAUUCCAGAUUUUAAGCUGAUAAACCAUAACAUGUGGAAUUUUGGUGCUUCCGGGGGAAGCUUCUGCAAAAAUGUGCGAAUGAAACGCUUUUUGCAGUUUUGUUUGGCAUUCUUUCAUCCAUGCUCACAGCUUCCUUCACGUAUUACUCAGCAACCAUAGCAACGGUGGAAAAACGGUUCAGCAUACCUAACGUUAAUACAGGUAUCAUAUUCACUGGGGCCGAGGUGACUCAGGUCCUUUUAGCAGGGUGUAUUAGUUACUACUUCGCAGGCACUAGACAUCGACCUCGGAUUAUAGCUGUUGGAGCGUUUUGUGUAGCACUAUGCGCUUUCUUACAUGCCUCACCCUACUUCAUUUUGGUGCCGGAGACAACCUUUCAAGUGAGAAACGCAUAA